Molecule: ribosomal RNA, 491 nt
Filed under: uncultured bacterium
Lineage: Bacteria
Description: partial 16S ribosomal RNA
Rfam family: Bacterial small subunit ribosomal RNA
Source: RNAcentral
AGUGAACGCUGGCGGUAGGCCUAACACAUGCAAGUCGAACGGCAGCACAGUAAGAGCUUGCUCUUACGGGUGGCGAGUGGCGGACGGGUGAGGAAUACAUCGGAAUCUACUUUUUCGUGGGGGAUAACGUAGGGAAACUUACGCUAAUACCGCAUACGACCUACGGGUGAAAGCAGGGGAUCUUCGGACCUUGCGCGAUUGAAUGAGCCGAUGUCGGAUUAGCUAGUUGGCGGGGUAAAGGCCCACCAAGGCGACGAUCCGUAGCUGGUCUGAGAGGAUGAUCAGCCACACUGGAACUGAGACACGGUCCAGACUCCUACGGGAGGCAGCAGUGGGGAAUAUUGGACAAUGGGCGCAAGCCUGAUCCAGCCAUACCGCGUGGGUGAAGAAGGCCUUCGGGUUGUAAAGCCCUUUUGUUGGGAAAGAAAAGCAGCAGGCUAAGACCCCGCUGUUCUGACGGUACCCAAAGAAUAAGCACCGGCUAACUUCGU